AGAGUGAAUUAUAGGGGGGUAUGUUGUUUGUGAUGCAACAUUAAAGCGUUUUUUUGUUUUUCAUUUUU
This 68-nucleotide transfer RNA is filed under the name Anadara broughtonii. Its description in RNAcentral is "Scapharca broughtonii tRNA-His". Lineage: Eukaryota; Metazoa; Mollusca; Bivalvia; Arcoida; Arcidae. The record is from RNAcentral.